GAUGAACGCUGGCGGCGUGCCUAAUACAUGCAAGUAGAACGCUGAAGGAAGGAGCUUGCUCUUUCCGGAUGAGUUGCGAACGGGUGAGUAACGCGUAGGUAACCUGCCUGGUAGUGGGGGAUAACUAUUGGAAACGAUAGCUAAUACCGCAUAACAGUAGAUGUUGCAUGAUAUCUACUUAAAAGGUGCAAUUGCACCACUACCAGAUGGACCUGCGUUGUAUUAGCUAGUUGGUGAGGUAACGGCUCACCAAGGCGACGAUACAUAGCCGACCUGAGAGGGUGAUCGGCCACACUGGGACUGAGACACGGCCCAGACUCCUACGGGAGGCAGCAGUAGGGAAUCUUCGGCAAUGGACGGAAGUCUGACCGAGCAACGCCGCGUGAGUGAAGAAGGUUUUCGGAUCGUAAAGCUCUGUUGUAAGAGAAGAACGAGUGUGAGAGUGGAAAGUUCACACUGUGACGGUAUCUUACCAGAAAGGGACGGCUAACUACGUG
Molecule: ribosomal RNA, 497 nt
Filed under: uncultured bacterium
Lineage: Bacteria
Description: partial 16S ribosomal RNA
Rfam family: Bacterial small subunit ribosomal RNA
Source: RNAcentral